UACAGAGGUCUCAAGCGUUGUUCGGAUUCAUUGGGCGUAAAGGGUGUGUAGGUGGCGCGCUAAGUCGGGUGUGAAAUUUCGGAGCUUAACUCCGAAACUGCAUUCGAUACUGGCGUGCUUGAGGACUGGAGAGGAGACUGGAAUUAUGGUGUAGCAGUGAAAUGCGUAGAGAUCAUGAGGAAGACCAGUGGCGAAGGCGGGUCUCUGGACAGUUCCUGACACUGAGGAGCGAAAGC
Molecule: ribosomal RNA, 236 nt
Filed under: uncultured bacterium
Lineage: Bacteria
Description: partial 16S ribosomal RNA
Rfam family: Bacterial small subunit ribosomal RNA
Source: RNAcentral